This 454-nucleotide ribosomal RNA is filed under the name uncultured organism. RNAcentral's name for it is "partial 16S ribosomal RNA". It matches the Rfam family "Bacterial small subunit ribosomal RNA", at positions 331 to 801 of the family's 1533-position model. The record is from RNAcentral.
GUACACUCCUGCGGGAGGCAGCAGUGGGGAAUAUUGGACAAUGGGCGCAAGCCUGAUCCAGCCAUGCCGCGUGAGUGAUGAAGGCCCUAGGGUUGUAAAGCUCUUUCACCGGUGAAGAUAAUGACGGUAACCGGAGAAGAAGCCCCGACUAACUUCGUGCCAGCAGCCGCGGUAAUACGAAGGGGGCUAGCGUUGUUCGGAUUUACUGGGCGUAAAGCGCACGUAGGCGGACUAUUAAGUCAGGGGUGAAAUCCCGGGGCUCAACCCCGGAACUGCCUUUGAUACUGGUAGUCUUGAGUUCGAGAGAGGUGAGUGGAAUUCCGAGUGUAGAGGUGAAAUUCGUAGAUAUUCGGAGGAACACCAGUGGCGAAGGCGGCUCACUGGCUCGAUACUGACGCUGAGGUGCGAAAGCGUGGGGAGCAAACAGGAUUAGAUACCCCGGUAGUCCCAUGAU